RNAcentral lists this ribosomal RNA (274 nucleotides) under uncultured bacterium. RNAcentral's name for it is "partial 16S ribosomal RNA". It matches the Rfam family "Bacterial small subunit ribosomal RNA", at positions 523 to 796 of the family's 1533-position model. The record is from RNAcentral.
AUACGGAGGGGGCUAGCGUUGUUCGGAUUUACUGGGCGUAAAGCGCACGUAGGCGGAUUGUUAAGUCGGGGGUGAAAGCCCGGGGCUCAACCCCGGAACUGCCUUCGAUACUGGCAAUCUUGAGGUCGGGAGAGGUGAGUGGAAUUCCUAGUGUAGAGGUGAAAUUCGUAGAUAUUAGGAGGAACACCAGUAGCGAAGGCGGCUCACUGGCCCGAUUCUGACGCUGAGGUGCGAAAGCGUGGGGAGCAAACAGGAUUAGAAACCCCAGUAGUCC